Molecule: non-coding RNA, 805 nt
Organism: Plutella xylostella (diamondback moth)
Lineage: Eukaryota; Metazoa; Arthropoda; Insecta; Lepidoptera; Plutellidae
Source: RefSeq, a predicted model, not a curated record
ACAAACAACCGUGUGCUAGAAAUAUAAAUACCUAAUUGAUAAAUUAUAAAAAUGGAAGGUAAAAACCACCAACGGCACCCAAUUUUACAUGUGACGAAAGUAUGCUUUUAUGUAACCUCGUAGACAAAUAUAAUUUCAUAAUUGAAAAUAAAAAAACUGAUGGUUAGACCGUAGCCGAAAAACAGAAGGCUUGGAAGAUGCUGAGUAAAGAAUAAUAUAACGCCAACACCACUUAUGUACCCAGAACUACUGAGAAUUUACUGGUAGGUACAAAAACCUGAAAACAAAGACGAAAACAGCACUCAAGUGAAAAAAUGCAGAUCUCAAAUAUACCUAGAUAGCAAAGUUUUACACGCGUCUGUAGUUCAGACAGUGGAGUGGAGCUCCAUGGACAAGACUGGGAAACGGUGUCCCCCCAGAGGAAUGCCAAACAACAUUCAAUAUUUUAAGUGAAGAAGCGAAACAAUCAUCAAGCAAAAUAAAACAACAAGCCAUAUUUUAAGAUUUAGGUAUAUAAUAUACAGUGGUAAUUAAUAAUAAUAAACAUGUUUUUAAAUCAACUGGUGUUUGGUACUGGUGUCGCUAUAACCUUGCAAAAUAGUUAUUGAUCAGCGAAGUUCUUGCAUUGUUCCCAGACUGUAAGGCACGAGAAGGUUGGUCUAUAUACAUUGUUGUGGUAUUCUUUGUAAGACGAAAGCUUUUAAUAAAUUCAUCAUCUCGAUAAGCACGAAACAAAUCUGUUAUUUUAGUAGUUAACCCUCCUAUAAAAGUAAGGGGUAUUCAAAUAUUCAAUCAUUUCUUUAUC